RNAcentral lists this transfer RNA (92 nucleotides) under Oscillospiraceae bacterium. Its description in RNAcentral is "tRNA-Ser". It matches the Rfam family "tRNA". From Rfam's summary of the family: Transfer RNA (tRNA) molecules are approximately 80 nucleotides in length. Lineage: Bacteria; Bacillati; Bacillota; Clostridia; Eubacteriales; Oscillospiraceae. The record is from RNAcentral.
GGAGAAAUACCCAAGCUGGCCGAAGGGGCUCCCCUGCUAAGGGAGUAGGUCGGGAAACUAGCGCGAGGGUUCAAAUCCCUCUUUCUCCGCCA